Molecule: ribosomal RNA, 251 nt
Filed under: uncultured bacterium
Lineage: Bacteria
Description: partial 16S ribosomal RNA
Rfam family: Bacterial small subunit ribosomal RNA
Source: RNAcentral
UGGGGAAUAUUGGACAAUGGGGGCAACCCUGAUCCAGCAAUGCCGCGUGUGUGAAGAAGGUCUUCGGAUUGUAAAGCACUUUCGACGGGGACGAUGAUGACGGUACCCGUAGAAGAAGCCCCGGCUAACUUCGUGCCAGCAGCCGCGGUAAUACGAAGGGGGCUAGCGUUGCUCGGAAUGACUGGGCGUAAAGGGCGUGUAGGCGGUUUACACAGUCAGAUGUGAAAUCCCCGGGACCUUAAGCCUGGAGC